UUGCUGUGGGACAACUGUCCAUGACGUGC
This 29-nucleotide small RNA is filed under the name Bombyx mori (domestic silkworm). Its description in RNAcentral is "ovarian small RNA-37934". The record is from RNAcentral. Lineage: Eukaryota; Metazoa; Arthropoda; Insecta; Lepidoptera; Bombycidae.